GAUGAAGAACGCAGCGAAAUGCGAUACGUAAUGUGAAUUGCAGAAUUCAGUGAAUCAUCGAGUCUUUGAACGCACAUUGCGCCCCCUGGUAUUCCGGGGGGCAUGCCUGUCCGAGCGUCAUUGCUGCCCUCAAGCACGGCUUGUGUGUUGGGCAUCCGUCCUCCUCCCGGGGGACGGGCCCGAAAGGCAGCGGCGGCACCGCGUCCGGUCCUCGAGCGUAUGGGGCUUCGUCACCCGCUCUUGUAGGCCCGGCCGGCGCUUGCCGACACAUCAAUCUUUUUUCCAGGUUGAGCUCGGAUCAGGUAGGGAUACCCGCUGAACUUAAGCAUAUCAAUAAGCGGAGGA
Molecule: unclassified non-coding RNA, 345 nt
Filed under: soil metagenome
Description: partial contains 5.8S ribosomal RNA, internal transcribed spacer 2, and large subunit ribosomal RNA
Rfam family: 5.8S ribosomal RNA (bases 1-120)
Source: RNAcentral